Molecule: ribosomal RNA, 441 nt
Filed under: uncultured bacterium
Lineage: Bacteria
Description: partial 16S ribosomal RNA
Rfam family: Bacterial small subunit ribosomal RNA
Source: RNAcentral
CCUACGGGAGGCAGCAGUGGGGAAUAUUGCACAAUGGGGGAAACCCUGAUGCAGCGACGCCGCGUGAGUGAAGAAGUAUUUCGGUAUGUAAAGCUCUAUCAGCCGGGAAGAAGCAAGACGGUACCUGACUAAAAAGCCCCGGCUAACUACGUGCCAGCAGCCGCGGGAAUACGUAGGGGGCAAGCGUUAUCCGGAUUUACUGGGUGUAAAGGGAGCGUAGACGGGAUGGCAAGUCUGAAGUGAAAGACCAGGGCUGAACCCUGGGACUGCUUUGGAAACUGUUUGACUAGAGUGCUGGAGAGGUAAGUGGAAUGCCUAGUGUAGCGGUGAAAUGCGUAGAUAUUAGGAGGAACACCAGUGGCGAAGGCGGCUUACUGGACAGUAACUGACGUUGAGGCUCGAAAGCGUGGGGAGCAAACAGGAUUAGAUACCCGGGUAGUC